GUUUUCGCCGAAAAUCCCCCCGAAGGACCCGAAAACAUCCCUUUUUGUGGUUUUUGAUGAAAUGUUUUUAUUUGGAUGCGGUGCCGAAAAAUCGGUCUUAUAAACAAUUUUGAGUCGCCACCCAUUGUUUAGGCAAUGAGACCGUUUUUAUAAAAAUGACUUCAUUUUAAACCCAAUUUAGUUUUAAGGCCAAAUUAUUUUAAAAGACUGGUCAGGCGCACCAAUGCGAUUCUGGGUAAGGGAAUUGGGUACGUCGGCCCGUUGGAAGCCGACGCCCGGAAAAAUCGGCCUCUAUUAACCUAUGAUUUCUAAUUUAUUUUAGUUAGAAAAGCCAAAUUAUUUAUUUAUUUAAACCCAACCCAAAUGAAUCGGACCGAGUUCCUAUUUGAAAAAUUAUUUAAUCGUCCCAAACAAAUCUAAUUAUCACAUAGCAAUCAUUCAAAUUAAAGCAANNNN
RNAcentral lists this long non-coding RNA (456 nucleotides) under Jatropha curcas. RNAcentral describes it as "long non-coding RNA (JCUR_LNC001930)". Lineage: Eukaryota; Viridiplantae; Streptophyta; Magnoliopsida; Malpighiales; Euphorbiaceae. The record is from RNAcentral.